ACAUGCCUACAACAUAGCGUUAAUGCAUCGAAUCCGAUUAUAACUUCAUCAUUAAGCGCGCUCAGGCUAGAGUAGUAUUGGGAUGGGUGACCUCCUAGGAAGUCCUAGUGUAUUACAUGCC
This is a non-coding RNA of Picea glauca (white spruce), 121 nucleotides long. Lineage: Eukaryota; Viridiplantae; Streptophyta; Pinopsida; Pinales; Pinaceae. The record is from Rfam.